GUGCCAGCCGCCGCGGUAAUACGGAGGGUGCAAGCGUUAUUCGGAAUCACUGGGCGUAAAGCGCGCGUAGGCGGCCAUGCAAGUCAGAUGUGAAAGCCCUCGGCUCAACCGAGGAAUAGCAUUUGAAACUGCGUGGCUAGAGUUCGGGAGAGGGUGGCGGAAUUCCAGGUGUAGGGGUGAAAUCCGUAGAUAUCUCGAGGAACACCAGAGGCGAAGGCGGGCACCUGGACCGAAACUGACGCUGAGGUACGAAAGCGUGGGUAGCAAACAGGAUUAGAUACCCGUGUAGUCC
Molecule: ribosomal RNA, 292 nt
Filed under: uncultured bacterium
Lineage: Bacteria
Description: partial 16S ribosomal RNA
Rfam family: Bacterial small subunit ribosomal RNA
Source: RNAcentral